RNAcentral lists this ribosomal RNA (450 nucleotides) under uncultured bacterium. Its description in RNAcentral is "partial 16S ribosomal RNA". It matches the Rfam family "Bacterial small subunit ribosomal RNA", at positions 354 to 796 of the family's 1533-position model. The record is from RNAcentral.
GUGAGGAAUAUUGGACAAUGGGCGCAAGCCUGAUCCAGCCAUUCCGCGUGCAGGAUGAAGGCCUUCGGGUUGUAAACUGCUUUUGUACGGAACGAAAAGCCUCUGGUUAAUACCCGGGGGUCAUGACGGUACCGUAAGAAUAAGCACCGGCUAACUACGUGCCAGCAGCCGCGGUAAUACGUAGGGUGCGAGCGUUAAUCGGAAUUACUGGGCGUAAAGCGUGCGCAGGCGGUUUUGUAAGACAGGCGUGAAAUCCCCGGGCUCAACCUGGGAAUUGCGCUUGUGACUGCAAGGCUGGAGUGCGGCAGAGGGGGAUGGAAUUCCGCGUGUAGCAGUGAAAUGCGUAGAUAUGCGGAGGAACACCGAUGGCGAAGGCAAUCCCCUGGGCCUGCACUGACGCUCAUGCACGAAAGCGUGGGGAGCAAACAGGAUUAGAAACCCUUGUAGUCC